Molecule: ribosomal RNA, 250 nt
Filed under: uncultured bacterium
Lineage: Bacteria
Also listed under: 1 other name
Description: partial 16S ribosomal RNA
Rfam family: Bacterial small subunit ribosomal RNA
Source: RNAcentral
UACGGAGGGUGCAAGCGUUGUUCGGAAUUACUGGGCGUAAAGAGCGUGUAGGCGGUUGAUUAAGUCAGGCGUGAAAGUCCUUGGCUCAACCAAGGAAGUGCACCUGAAACUGGUCAACUUGAGUACGGGAGAGGAGAGUGGAAUUCCUGGUGUAGAGGUGAAAUUCGUAGAUAUCAGGAGGAACACCGGUGGCGAAGGCGACUCUCUGGACCGAUACUGACGCUGAGACGCGAAAGCGUGGGGAGCAAAC